RNAcentral lists this non-coding RNA (129 nucleotides) under Triticum aestivum (bread wheat). The record is from RNAcentral. Lineage: Eukaryota; Viridiplantae; Streptophyta; Magnoliopsida; Poales; Poaceae.
GUGUUCGUAAAAAGGAGAGACGGUUGGCAUCUCCCCUGACAGGGACGGGAACGGUCUUCGGACAUUUCCUGCGUAUCGUGUACUGCGGUUAAGGCUACCCGCUUCGGCGGAUCUUACCCAAAUUUUUUU